CUCUCUCGGUCUCAAAAAAGAAACAUAAAAAAAAAAAAAAAGGUGGUGGAUCUGAGACUCAGACUCAGGUCUUUCAACCACAGGUUCUGAGACCUGUCAAUUAUACCAGGCAGCUUUCCAUAGCACUUGUGGUGGGCACAAACUGAGUUCUGUAAUUUAUAACGGUCCUGAGCCAGAACACUUGAAGGAAGAUACGUUACUGGCUUCAUAGAAAAUGCUACCUGGGAAAUGGAUCACCUAGCUUAAAUCUGCACAAACGCGAGGAGGGAAAUGACAAUUCAGAGCCUCUGUUUGAAUGACAUUUGUUUCUGAGACUAGUAACCAGCUUUUCAAUUCUGACGUUUACGCGUAAAUUCCGACAUAUACCCGGGGCUGUGCUUAACAACGGGUCACACUCCCGUCCUGCAGAUGUCCUGCGAGUCUGUGAUUCGAAGGCAAUGUGAUCUGUGUUAAGUGUCGUUACGUGAUACUUAAUACAAUGUAAGUAUCUGAUACUGUAAGAUUAUGAAAUCACCAGAUCUGUCAUGGCCAUCUAGUCUACCUCUGUUUCUGAGAAAGUCUGCAUUUAAGUCAUCCCAGAGACAAAACCUUCCCACUUGGAAUACAGUUUCUUUGUCUGCUCAGCAGGGGGGCUUUCUAUUCAAAGCCCAGGUCAAGGCCUAUCUCUGUGGAGAAAUAAUCCAUCGCAAGUCUCUUCACAGCAGGGUAGAUUCAGGUGCUGGGAAAUGGAGUUUUAUGCAAUUCAGGGAAGCUUUUUUAUGAUAAAGAAUACUAAACUAGGGAAGCAAGUGAAUGUUUAUUUAGAAUGAGAAAAUAACUCACAAUAAGCUACUGGAGCCUUGGAGAUUCAGGUACCUUUCCUGUUAGGCAGUUUCCCAGACCUGCUUGCCUAGAAUGCUUCCUGGUUGCACCAUAACUUCCCCACUUUACCUUGCAAACUCCACAAAGCCCAACAGAUUCCAGCACCCUGUGUGUCUGGUAAAUCUGCCCCUGCACUCCUACAAAUAGGUAUGAGUAUUAUUUAUUUGCCAAUUUAUCUGUUUAUGGGUCUCGUCAUUCCAAAAGGAUUUGAAAGCAGAGACUUUUGCUCUUUAUACUCUGGCAAUGUAGCACAAGAUGCUUUCGCACACACUAUUCCUUUCCUUCGCCUCCGCUUUUUCUCACCUCCCCUGCCCCAGUGGCCACCUGCCCCAAUUGUGAUUUGGCGAAAUCUUCUACUUAUACCUGAAUCAUACCAAUUAUUGGGUUUACCACACAUUAUCUUGUUUUAAAAUAUUUCUUAUGUGUAAAUCUUAUUUAUCUCUUUAGCAAGACUGUAAGCUUCUUGGGGGAAGAGACGAGGUCUUAUGCUUUUUCUCUGUUUUCUUACAUACUUUUACGGUACUAAGCAUCUAUAAAUGUCCAAUCAUUAUUUGUGAAUGAUUGACUAUCCACCAAAUCUCACUGAUUUUUAUAUAGGUUAAAGUGAAACAUUGAUUAAAGUAGGGUGGGUUUAAUAAGGGAAGGUUUCUUGUGGAGGUGUACCAAAACUGAGUUUUGAAGAAGGAAAGAAGGACUAUUUGAUUGGAAAUGAGCGACUCCAUAUAGGGGAUAGGAAAUUAGAGACAGUUCUUAAUGAUGCUUUUUAAUUUAUUAAGAGAAAUAUGAAUGUCUAAUGAAUGUUUUUAGUGAAAUAUAAUUCACUGCGUAUAGGGACAUUUUUAGGUCGGUUGAAUGAGCUAUUCUGGGUAAGAAUACAGAGUGUAGUGGCAUUUGAUUAUCAGUGGGUAACUCUCCCAAAUGGUUCAACACACACACACACGCACACACACACACUCACACACACUCACACACACUCACACCCUACCCCCCCAGAAAAAAACAGAUCAGUGACUGCAGUGAAUCAGAAUUGCAGAAACUCCUUAAGGCCCUGACAAGUCUUCAAAUAAUGAUGUUCCAAAGAAUGGUGGCUCUUCUUGCCUACACAGGCCUUUGUGCGUGUGACAGAAUGGUUUACGGGUUCACACAGGAGGAGAUGUUUUAGAUUUGCACAUCCGGGAUUCCCAUUCAUUUCUGUUUUGUGCGGUGACUGGGGGGUGGUGAGAUGUCGUAAAGUGGGCUUGGGCUUCUCUUGCACAGCAUCUUUCCCCCAGAUGUGUAAUAGGUGAAAACCGUAAGCACACGGAGGCGGCAAUGCAGUCCUGAGAGCUUUAAAAAUCACAGGAGCACAUGAACAUCUGUCCCAAGUCUGGGAGAAGGGCAGCAAGCACGCAGGAGAUGAGCAUGUUGUCUUACAGAUUCCUCAUGCCGAUCCCAGGUUGGGAGGUGGAGAAAGGACUCUGUUCAUGUAGUCGUUCAUGGACCUAGGAUGAAGACAACUCUAUCUUCUUCAUUACAUGCCUUACAUGGACGCUCCAGUUAUCAGCAUUGCAAGCAGCAGAAGGAGAAAGGAUCUCAUAACAUGUUAUACAUCAGACCCAGAAAGAAAACAGCAAUCAUUUCUGCAUACUUGAUAUUGGCUAAAACCUAGUCAUGUGGCCCCAGAUAAAUGAAGAGAAGCUUGAUAAAUGUGGUCUAGUGAAAGAGGAGAAUGUAUUUUGAUAGGUAGUUACCAGUCUCCGCCACAGUUAUUGACAUUUAAAACCUACAGAUUACACACACACACACACACACACACACACACACACACACCAAUGUCUAAGUUCUACCAAAUGGAAAUAUCUGGAAAUUUUGCUUGAACGCCACAUGGCAACAAUUUCCUAGAGUCAGGCUGUAGUUUCCCUUUGCAAAGUGCAUGCUCACUCUGGUUGCUGUCAUUCUCACACUUGUAUUUUUGCCCCAAAUCCAAUCCUACUUUACUUCAACUAGACAUGAUCAACACAUGCUUGAAGAGAUUAUAGUUGGGUGUUCUCUUAGUUAAUGUCAUCAGGACCAAUAUUUGUUUAGUUCAUCAAAAAAAAUAAAUAAAUAAAAACAGGCAAAUCAGGGAAUAAUAGUUAAAACAAAAAAGUUUUUUUUGGAUGUUCUAUACUAUCCUAAAGCGUAUUAAUUUACUUUUAUUUGUUACAUUUAUAAUCUUGGGUCAAAGUCUUUUCUUUAAAUAUGUCUACCAGUUGGA
This is a long non-coding RNA of Lynx canadensis (Canada lynx), 3097 nucleotides long. RefSeq lists it as uncharacterized. Lineage: Eukaryota; Metazoa; Chordata; Mammalia; Carnivora; Felidae. The record is from RefSeq and is a predicted model, not a curated record. The transcript has 2 exons.